UGUGAGUAGCGAAAGACGGGUGAGAAUCCCGUCCACCGAUUGACUAAGGUUUCCAGAGGAAGGCUCGUCCGCUCUGGGUUAGUCGGGUCCUAAGCUGAGGCCGACAGGCGUAGGCGAUGGAUAACAGGUUGAUAUUCCUGUACCACCUAUAAUCGUUUUAAUCGAUGGGGGGACGCAGUAGGAUAGGCGAAGCGUGCGAUUGGAUUGCACGUCUAAGCAGUAAGGCUGAGUAUUAGGCAAAUCCGGUACUCGUUAAGGCUGAGCUGUGAUGGGGAGAAGACAUUGUGUCUUCGAGUCGUUGAUUUCACACUGCCGAGAAAAGCCUCUAGAUAGAAAAUAGGUGCCCGUACCGCAAACCGACACAGGUAGUCAAGAUGAGAAUUCUAAGGUGAGCGAGCGAACUCUCGUUAAGGAACUCGGCAAAAUGACCCCGUAACUUCGGGAGAAGGGGUGCUCUUUAGGGUUAACGCCCAGAAGAGCCGCAGUGAAUAGGCCCAAGCGACUGUUUAUCAAAAACACAGGUCUCUGCUAAACCGUAAGGUGAUGUAUAGGGGCUGACGCCUGCCCGGUGCUGGAAGGUUAAGAGGAGUGGUUAGCUUCUGCGAAGCUACGAAUCGAAGCCCCAGUAAACGGCGGCCGUAACUAUAACGGUCCUAAGGUAGCGAAAUUCCUUGUCGGGUAAGUUCCGACCCGCACGAAAGGCGUAACGAUUUGGGCACUGUCUCAACGAGAGACUCGGUGAAAUCAUAGUACCUGUGAAGAUGCAGGUUACCCGCGACAGGACGGAAAGACCCCGUGGAGCUUUACUGUAGCCUGAUAUUGAAAUUCGGCACAGCUUGUACAGGAUAGGUAGGAGCCUUUGAAACGUGAGCGCUAGCUUACGUGGAGGCGCUGGUGGGAUACUACCCUAGCUGUGUUGGCUUUCUAACCCGCACCACUUAUCGUGGUGGGAGACAGUGUCAGGCGGGCAGUUUGACUGGGGCGGUCGCCUCCUAAAAGGUAACGGAGGCGCUCAAAGGUUCCCUCAGAAUGGUUGGAAAUCAUUCAUAGAGUGUAAAGGCAUAAGGGAGCUUGACUGCGAGACCUACAAGUCGAGCAGGGUCGAAAGACGGACUUAGUGAUCCGGUGGUUCCGCAUGGAAGGGCCAUCGCUCAACGGAUAAAAGCUACCCCGGGGAUAACAGGCUUAUCUCCCCCAAGAGUUCACAUCGACGGGGAGGUUUGGCACCUCGAUGUCGGCUCAUCGCAUCCUGGGGCUGUAGUCGGUCCCAAGGGUUGGGCUGUUCGCCCAUUAAAGCGGUACGCGAGCUGGGUUCAGAACGUCGUGAGACAGUUCGGUCCCUAUCCGUCGUGGGCGUAGGAAAUUUGAGAGGAGCUGUCCUUAGUACGAGAGGACCGGGAUGGACAUACCUCUGGUGUACCAGUUGUCGUGCCAACGGCAUAGCUGGGUAGCUAUGUGUGGACGGGAUAAGUGCUGAAAGCAUCUAAGCAUGAAGCCCCCCUCAAGAUGAGAUUUCCCAACUUCGGUUAUAAGAUCCCUCAAAGAUGAUGAGGUUAAUAGGUUC
This 1564-nucleotide ribosomal RNA is filed under the name Staphylococcus aureus. Its description in RNAcentral is "partial 23S ribosomal RNA". It matches the Rfam family "Bacterial large subunit ribosomal RNA", at positions 1301 to 2863 of the family's 2925-position model. Lineage: Bacteria; Bacillati; Bacillota; Bacilli; Caryophanales; Staphylococcaceae. The record is from RNAcentral.